This is a long non-coding RNA of Oncorhynchus keta (chum salmon), 869 nucleotides long. RefSeq lists it as uncharacterized. The record is from RefSeq and is a predicted model, not a curated record. The transcript is spliced from 4 exons. NCBI's taxonomy places the organism in Eukaryota, Metazoa, Chordata, Actinopteri, Salmoniformes, Salmonidae.
UCACACACACACACGCGCACGCUCAAUCAUGGGGCAAAGGUCACACACACACACACACACCCUCAGUCAUGGGGUAAAGGUCACACACACCCUCAGUCAUGGGGUAAAGGUCACACACACCCUCAGUCAUGGGGUAAAGGUCACACACACCCUCAGUCAUGGGGCAAAGGUAACACACACACACACCCUCAGUCAUGGGGCAAAGGUAACACACACACACACACCCUCAGUCAUGGGGCAAAGGUAACACACACACACACCCUCAGUCAUGGGGCAAAGGUAACACACACACACACCCUCAGUCAUGGGACAAAGGUAACACACCCUCAGUCAUGGGGCAAAGGUAACACACACACACACACACACACACACACACACACACACCUAAAUCAAAUUUAUUUGUCACAUACACAUGGUUAGCAGAUGUUAAAUGCGAGUGUAGCGAAAUGCUUGUGCUUCUAGUUCCGACAAUGCAGUGAUAACCAACAAGUAAUCUAACUAACAAUUCCAAAACUACUGUCUUAUACACAGUGUAAGGGGAUAAGGAAUAUGUACAUAAGGAUAUAUGAAUGAGUGAUGGUACAGAGCAGCAUACAGUAGAUGGUAUCAGUACAGUAUAUACAUAUGAGAUGAGUGUGUAGACAAAGUAAACAAAGUGGCAUAGUUAAAGUGGCUAGUGAUACAUGUGUUACAUAAGGAUGCAGUCGAUGAUGUAGAGUACAGUAUACACAUAUGCAUAUGAGAUGAAUAAUGUAGGGUAAGUAACAUUAUAUAAGGUAGCAUUGUUUAAAGUGGCUAGUGAUAUAUUUACAUAAUUCCCAUCAAUUCCCAUUAUUAAAAUGGCUGGAGUUGGGUCAGUGUCAAUGACA